Acanthosepion pharaonis is the source of this 114-nucleotide non-coding RNA. The record is from the annotation of a GenBank genome assembly. Lineage: Eukaryota; Metazoa; Mollusca; Cephalopoda; Sepiida; Sepiidae.
UUACGGCCAUAUCACGUUGAAACACAGGUUCCCGUACGAUCAUCGAAGUUAAGCAACGUAGAGCCUGGUCAGUACCUGGAUGGGUGAUCACUUGGAAAUAUCAGGUGCUGGAAG